RNAcentral lists this ribosomal RNA (253 nucleotides) under uncultured bacterium. RNAcentral describes it as "partial 16S ribosomal RNA". It matches the Rfam family "Bacterial small subunit ribosomal RNA", at positions 524 to 776 of the family's 1533-position model. The record is from RNAcentral.
UACGUAGGGUGCGAGCGUUAAUCGGAAUUACUGGGCGUAAAGAGUGCGCAGGCGGCCGAGCAUGUCGAGUGUGAAAGCCCCGGGCUUAACCUGGGAAUUGCAUUCGAUACUGGAUCGCUAGAGUUCGGCAGAGGGAAGUGGAAUUUCUGGUGUAGCGGUGAAAUGCGUAGAUAUCAGAAGGAACAUCAGUGGCGAAAGCGACUUCCUGGACCAGAACUGACGAUCAGGCACGAAAGCGUGGGGAGCAAACAGG